AACGCUAGCUACAGGCUUAACACAUGCAAGUCGAGGGGUAACGAGAGGGAAGCUUGCUUUCCUUGUCGACGACCGGCGCACGGGUGAGUAACGCGUAUCCAACCUGCCCAUUACCACGGGAUACCCCGUCGAAAGGCGGCCUAAUACCGUAUGCAGUCGUCAGAUGACAUCAGAGGACGACGAAAGGAUUGGCGGUAAUGGAUGGGGAUGCGUCUGAUUAGGUAGUUGGAGGGGUAACGGCCCACCAAGCCAUCGAUCAGUAGGGGUUCUGAGAGGAAGGUCCCCCACAUUGGAACUGAGACACGGUCCAAACUCCUACGGGAGGCAGCAGUGAGGAAUAUUGGUCAAUGGGCGCGAGCCUGAACCAGCCAAGUAGCGUGAGGGACGACGGCCCUAUGGGUUGUAAACCUCUUUUAUGCGGGAAUAAAAUGUUUGACGUGUCAUACAUUGUAGGUACCGCAAGAAUAAGGACCGGCUAAUUCCGUGCCAGCAGCCGCGGUAAUACGGAAGGUCCAGGCGUUAUCCGGAUUUAUUGGGUUUAAAGGGAGCGUAGGCCGCAAGUCAAGCGUGUUGUGAAAUGCAGGGGCUCAACCUCUGGAUUGCAGCGCGAACUGGCAUGCUUGAGUACGCACGAGGUAGGCGGAAUUUGUGGUGUAGCGGUGAAAUGCUUAGAUAUCACGAAGAACUCCGAUUG
Molecule: ribosomal RNA, 694 nt
Filed under: uncultured bacterium
Lineage: Bacteria
Description: bacterial SSU rRNA
Rfam family: Bacterial small subunit ribosomal RNA
Source: RNAcentral